RNAcentral lists this ribosomal RNA (468 nucleotides) under uncultured bacterium. Its description in RNAcentral is "bacterial SSU rRNA". It matches the Rfam family "Bacterial small subunit ribosomal RNA", at positions 28 to 507 of the family's 1533-position model. The record is from RNAcentral.
GACGAACGCUGGCGGUGCGCCUUAUGCAUGCAAGUCGAGCGAAGCUUUUCAGUAGUUCUACCAGAAAAUGCUGAGCGGCGAACGGGUGAGUAACGCGUGAGCAAUCUACCUUAGUUACAGGGAUAGCCCGAGGAAACUCGGAUUAAUACCUGAUAUUCUUUAUAUUUCGCAUGAAAUUAAAAGGAAAGGUCAGCCGAACUAAGAUGAGCUCGCGUUCUAUCAGCUAGUUGGUGAGGUAAAAGCUCACCAAGGCUACGACGGAUAGCUGGUCUGAGAGGACGAUCAGCCACACUGGGACUGAGACACGGCCCAGACUCCUACGGGAGGCUGCAGCAGGGAAUAUUGCGCAAUGAGCGAAAGCUUGACGCAGCGACACCGCGUGUGGGAUGACGGAUCUAGGUUUGUAAACCACUUUCAGGAGGGAAGAAAAUGACGGUACCUCCACAAGAAGCCCCGGCCAACUACGUG